RNAcentral lists this long non-coding RNA (421 nucleotides) under Bos taurus (domestic cattle). RNAcentral's name for it is "long non-coding RNA NONBTAT005981". The record is from RNAcentral. Lineage: Eukaryota; Metazoa; Chordata; Mammalia; Artiodactyla; Bovidae.
UGUUGGUUGAGAAAUCAGAGAUGAUUUUCCAUCCCCAUAAUGAGGACAAAGAUGAGUGGUCCUCUCUCCAACAGGAAAAGAAAUCUACUCAUGCCCCCAGAAGGGAGAGGAAAAGGGUGUUGCAAACUCAUUCUUAGUUGAGUAAUUCUUGAGAAUUUAAAGUAUGACUUUUUAAAAGCAUAACAUACGUGUUGGGCCAUUGGUACUAGCCUCGGUUUAAACCAGGUUUCAGUAGUAGACGAUUAUCCCAUUCUGUCCUCCACCCAUCUGGUUGGGGCUGUCCCUUUGCUGAGAGUGAAUUUGUCUAUUUUAGUUUGCCAAAAGACAAAACAGACGAUGAGGGUGGCAGAGCUGGUAGUCCAUGACUCAGAUUCCACUCAGACCUCAUUCCGUAUUUCACUGGGGUAGAAAUCAGACUUUA